AGAUAGUAAGGUGGCGGACGGGUGAGUAACACGUAAAGACUUGCCCUGCAGCCUGGGACAACUACUGGAAACGGUAGCUAAUACCGGAUAUUGCCGCAUGGCGAAAGCUAUAUGCGCUGCAGGAGAGCUUUGCGUCCCAUUAGUUAGUUGGUGAGGUAACGGCUCACCAAGACCGCGAUGGGUAGCCGGCCUGAGAGGGUGAACGGCCACAAGGGGACUGAGACACGGCCCUUACUCCUACGGGAGGCAGCAGUGGGGAAUAUUGGACAAUGGACCAAAGUCUGAUCCAGCAAUUCUGUGUGCACGAUGACGGUCUUAGGAUUGUAAAGUGCUUUCAAUCGGGAAAAAGAAAGUGAUGGUACCGAUAGAAGAAGCGACGGCUAAAUACGUGCCAGCAGCCGCGGUAAUACGUAUGUCGCAAGCGUUAUCCGGAUUUAUUGGGCGUAAAGCGCGUCUAGGCGGUUUGGUAAGUCUGAUGUGGAAAUGCGGGGCUCAACUCCGUAUUGCGUUGGAAACUGCCAGACUAGAGUACUGGAGAGGUGGGCGGAACUACAAGUGUAGAGGUGAAAUUCGUAGAUAUUUGUAGGAAUGCCGAUAGAGAAGUCAGCUCACUGGACAGAUA
RNAcentral lists this ribosomal RNA (622 nucleotides) under uncultured bacterium. Its description in RNAcentral is "bacterial SSU rRNA". It matches the Rfam family "Bacterial small subunit ribosomal RNA", at positions 85 to 739 of the family's 1533-position model. The record is from RNAcentral.